RNAcentral lists this long non-coding RNA (555 nucleotides) under Equus caballus (horse). RNAcentral describes it as "lncRNA (ENSECAG00000059888.1)". The record is from RNAcentral. Lineage: Eukaryota; Metazoa; Chordata; Mammalia; Perissodactyla; Equidae.
GAUAAUUUUAAAAUGCUGGAGAGAAAAGAGAUGACUAAUGCUCCUUCAGGUGGUGGAAGACGAUUGCACCAGGAGAAAGAAGAGUUGGACAGGAAGCAAGACCGCUGCUGGGAGGAGAGAAGAGGAAGUAGGUUGGGGCCAAUAGAGUAAACAUGGUGUCAGCCAACGUGACUAGUGCCUUGGAGUUUGUCCUUUUGGGAUGCUGCCCUUGCUGUGAAGAGCGAGGCCUGGCCGUGCAUCAUUCAGCCAUCCCAGCUGAGGCACCAGACGGGCAAGUGAGGCCACCUCGGAGUGUCCAUCCCAGCGGAGCUAACUGAUCACAGUUGCAUAUGUGACCUCAGUCAGUGCAUCUUGUGUCCUAAGAAAUCUCUGCUUAUCUUAAGGUGGUAAAGAAUAAAUAACAUUUUAAAACACUUUAAAAUAAACCUAUGCGUAUUUCCUUUCCCCCUUUCUCCUAAAAUGAUGCUACUUUUAGUUGAAAAUUAUUAAGAUGAUAUGCACCAUUUUGGAAAGAAGGUCAAGAAUGAGAAAGGCAGAAAAUUUCGUGUAUGAAGC